GUCUGUAUCUGUUUUGUAAAUAAGUUCAUUUGUAUCAUUUUUUUAGAUUCCACAUAUAAGCCACAUCAGAACUGCAUUCCAAUCUGAGACUCUUUCUACCCAGUCCCCCUUCCUCCCCCAUCCUUCACAGGCCUCAGACCUGCAUCACAGUCUGAUGCUCUCUCCCCCGACUCCUGCUCCCUCCCCUGCAUCCUUCAGAGGUUUUUCACGGAAUAACUCUCUUGCCUGUCUAAUCUUACCUUGGUGACCACUUCUCAGAAGACCUAAGCUAACAUAGAACCCAGGAUCACUGCAGCAUCGCUCACCAUCAUCUCUGACCAGAUUUGAGCAGCAUCGCAGCGUUUUCACCAAUACUAGUGCUCGGCCCCUUUCCACCAGUUAUGGGAACCAUAGAUCCUUUUCCAGAGAGAACCAGGAACUCAUUUUCCGUGUAACAUCCUCCUGGCCUAAGGGAGUUCAGUGCGGGAGAUGGAAGAUGAUUAAAUAGUUAAGUUGGUUUUACAUCUGGCUUUUAAGCCUGAGUAAGUUCUUUGUAUCCAUAAUCUGUAUCAGCUAUGCCCAUCCUCUUCUAUCACCUAGCUUGUAGGUCAUCAAUAAAUAUUUCUUGUACUUUUUCUCAUACUACCAGCUAAGGGCUUCAACGUACUCGAGGUAGUAUGUGCCAGGCGAUUGCAAUGCCUUCAUUCUUUCUUCCACAGGAGAACAGCAGAUUCCUAUACUGUGCUCAGGCGACUUGCUUGCAGUGUGUCUUCUCAUUCUGGAGCCUCUCCCGAGGUCCUAAACCACAGACUUCCCAGUUUGACUAGAUGAAGAUCAGUUUCCUCAAUUCUUUGUUCUCCACUCUGAACAUGAAUUUACUCUCAUUCUCUAUAUGAUUGUAAGUACAAUACUGCACACCUAUUUGGAAACAACCAAAACUGCUUGACUGUUCUUCUGUUU
This 939-nucleotide long non-coding RNA is filed under the name Bos indicus x Bos taurus (hybrid cattle). RNAcentral describes it as "lncRNA (ENSBIXG00000024378.1)". The record is from RNAcentral. Lineage: Eukaryota; Metazoa; Chordata; Mammalia; Artiodactyla; Bovidae.